ACCGUAUAAGUAAAUUAUAUAAACAUAAAAAUAGAAUAAAAUCAGUUCGUUUUUUUUACUUUUUAGUAAGGGAAUCUCACAUUUUUUUUUUUUUUUUUUCGUCCAAAAGUUUUAUUACUUAAGCCCAGUGGACAUGCAAAUACAGAAGAGUUAAACUAGAGGAUUACAGACGAGAUUUAAAAGGCCCAAACUAAACCAUAUUACAAAAUACAAAAGAUAAUAAAACUUUGAUGGUUUAGCAUAAGACACGUGGAGAUGAAGCACCUCCUCUAAGCCACGCAUCAAAUUGAAGCAGUUCCACGUCUCCACCGUCUGUUCUUCUCAAGCAUCACCGGCAUUCGAUUAGCCACCACCAAAUAACCCGAAGAUGAUGAGAAUCCUCUUAUCUUCUGCCGAUCUCAAAUCCAAUCAAAGGAUACGUCGAAGUCUACCGGAUCAAGUAUAUUAAACUUCUUCAAAUUUUCUUCGAGUAUCAUCAACUCCGGGGAAGCUCCACCACCGAUUACAUCCAGAUUUUGAUGUAAUACUUUGCUUUGCUCUUAUGAAAUGAGCAAAAUAAAAGUGACGAAGAUAUUACUCCUCGAAUAGCUGAAGAAACAAAGAAAAUUUGGAAGUGAUUAUCGGAGAAAUCAACGGGAAAAUAACAUAACUGGAUGAGAGAUCUUAUCUCGGUAAAACGAGAAAUAAAACCGGACUUAGCCGGUACAAAGAUCCGGAUCUUAGCCGGAAAUUAUAUUAUAUGACAAAAUUCCGGUGUACUGGAAAUCUCUUUCUCUCUCUGAAAAAUAGAGGUGUGAUAAGAGAGAGAAUGAACUAUUUCAAAUGAGCAGAGUCCAAGGGAAUCUCACAUUUACAUGUAUGGUUUAUCAUCAAUUAAUUUACAUAUAAAUAUUACCUGAAGAUUUUAUUCUCAAAGUUACCAACUUAUUACUUACUAGUUACCA
This 944-nucleotide long non-coding RNA is filed under the name Capsella rubella. RNAcentral describes it as "long non-coding RNA (CRUB_LNC001262)". The record is from RNAcentral. Lineage: Eukaryota; Viridiplantae; Streptophyta; Magnoliopsida; Brassicales; Brassicaceae.